UACGGAGGAUGCAAGCGUUAUCCGGAAUCACUGGGCGUAAAGCGUCUGUAGGUGGUUUAAUAAGUCAACUGUUAAAUCUUGAAGCUCAACUUCAAAAUCGCAGUCGAAACUAUUAGACUAGAGUAUAGUAGGGGUAAAGGGAAUUUCCAGUGGAGCGGUGAAAUGCGUAGAGAUUGGAAAGAACACCGAUGGCGAAGGCACUUUACUGGGCUAUUACUGACACUCAGAGACGAAAGCUAGGGUAGCAAAUGGG
Molecule: ribosomal RNA, 253 nt
Filed under: uncultured bacterium
Lineage: Bacteria
Description: partial 16S ribosomal RNA
Rfam family: Bacterial small subunit ribosomal RNA
Source: RNAcentral